GUNAAAGACGAUGACGUUGAUAGGUCGGGUGUGUAAGYGUAGCGAUACRUUGAGCUAACCGAUACUAAUGAACCGUGAGGCUUAACCUUACAACGCCGAAG
Molecule: ribosomal RNA, 101 nt
Filed under: Citrobacter sp. On28M
Lineage: Bacteria; Pseudomonadati; Pseudomonadota; Gammaproteobacteria; Enterobacterales; Enterobacteriaceae
Description: partial 23S ribosomal RNA
Source: RNAcentral